RNAcentral lists this ribosomal RNA (260 nucleotides) under uncultured prokaryote. RNAcentral describes it as "partial 16S ribosomal RNA". It matches the Rfam family "Bacterial small subunit ribosomal RNA", at positions 524 to 782 of the family's 1533-position model. The record is from RNAcentral.
UACGUAGGUGGCAAGCGUUAUCCGGAAUUAUUGGGCGUAAAGAGCGCGCAGGUGGUUGAUUAAGUCUGAUGUGAAAGCCCACGGCUUAACCGUGGAGUGUCAUUGGAAACUGGUCGACUUGAGUGCAGAAGAGGGAAGUGGAAUUCCAUGUGUAGCGGUGAAAUGCGUAGAGAUAUGGAGGAACACCAGUGGCGAAAGGCGGCUUCCUGGUCUGUAACUGACACUGAGGCGCGAAAGCGUGGGUAUCAAACAGGAUUAGA